GUCGCGGAAUGCCCGUGUAUGC
Molecule: microRNA, 22 nt
Filed under: Pristionchus pacificus
Lineage: Eukaryota; Metazoa; Nematoda; Chromadorea; Rhabditida; Neodiplogasteridae
Description: ppc-miR-8340-5p
Source: miRBase by way of RNAcentral